CUCACCUGGUACGCCAAGGGCCGGGCGCCAUGCGCGGGCCCGAGCCGCGAGGAGGAACUGGCAGCCGUGCGGGAGGCGGAGCGCGAGGCGCUGCUGGCCGCCCUUGGCUACAAGAACGUGAAGAAGCAGCCCACGGGCCUGAGCAAGGAGGACUUCGCGGAGGUCUGCAAGCGGGAAGGAGGCGACCCCGAGGAGAAGGGCGUGGACCGGCUGCUGGGGCUGGGGAGCGCAAGGUGCGGGCGGGUUUCCAGGGGAGGGCAGCACUGGGCUCGAUUGCUCGGGUGAGGCGGACCCCUGCCGUACUGUCUUCAUCGCCAUGUCCCUGCAGUGGCUCCGUGGGCCGCGUGGCGAUGUCCCGAGAGGACAAGGAGGCCGCCAAACUGGGGCUGUCUGUGUUCACGCAUCACCGCGUAGAGAGCGGCGGGCCCGGGACCUCGGCAGCCUCGGCCAGGAGGAAGCCGCGGGCGGAGGAUCAGACGGAAAGCAGUUGUGAGAGCCACAGGAAAAGCAAGAAGGAGAAGAAGAAAAAGAAAAAGAGGAAACACAAG
RNAcentral lists this long non-coding RNA (548 nucleotides) under Homo sapiens (human). Its description in RNAcentral is "non-protein coding lnc-C1orf35-1:2". The record is from RNAcentral. Lineage: Eukaryota; Metazoa; Chordata; Mammalia; Primates; Hominidae.